CAGAGACCAGACCCUGCUGAACGUGGACCUGAACCUGAACCCAGCUGUGUGUCCAUGGAGAGUCACCGCUACUUUAAAAAAGAAGGCGACCUGACCUCGAGUGGUGAAUAGAAAUGGAGGAGAGGCUACUUGAAAUGGAGGAGAGAGGAUUGAUGGAGAGACUUGAAUGGCAGAAGGAGAGAAUAGCAAUGGAGAGUGAAAUUGAAAUGUUAAGAAGAAGAUUGAGGACCCAGCAGAAACCAGAGUCUCCUGAACCUGGACCUGGAUCUGAACCUGGACCUGGAUCUGAACCUGGACCUGGAUCUGAACCUGGACCUGGACCCAGCUGUGUGUCCUUUAAGAGUGACCAGUCAAAAUAUCGCCUCAUUGAAUUUAAAGGACAGCAACCCUCUGCUGAAAAGAGGAUCCAUCAAAGACCAGACUCUGCUGAACCUGGACCUGGACCUGAACCUGAACCUGAACCUGAACCCAGCUGUGUGUCCUUCAAGAGUGACCGGUCAAGUCAUCGCCUCAUUGACUUUAAAGGAGAGCAACCCUCUGCAGAAAAGAGGUAAGCUGUUAAUAAUAUUAUAAUAUUGCUGAUUCAUGUUUCUUUUAUUUAUCCAG
RNAcentral lists this long non-coding RNA (606 nucleotides) under Sander lucioperca (pikeperch). RNAcentral describes it as "lncRNA (ENSSLUG00000015598.1)". Lineage: Eukaryota; Metazoa; Chordata; Actinopteri; Perciformes; Percidae. The record is from RNAcentral.